GACGAACGCUGGCGGCGUGCUUAACACAUGCAAGUCGAACGGAAAGGCCCUGCUUUUGUGGGGUGCUCGAGUGGCGAACGGGUGAGUAACACGUGAGUAACCUGCCCUUGACUUUGGGAUAACUUCAGGAAACUGGGGCUAAUACCGGAUAGGAGCUCCUGCUGCAUGGUGGGGGCUGGAAAGUUUCGGCGGUUGGGGAUGGACUCGCGGCUUAUCAGCUUGUUGGUGGGGUAGUGGCUUACCAAGGCUUUGACGGGUAGCCGGCCUGAGAGGGUGACCGGCCACAUUGGGCCUGGGAUACGGCCCAGACUGCUACGGGAGGCAGGAGUGGGAGAUAUUGCACAAUGGGCGGAAGCCGUAUGCAGCAACGCCGCGUGGGGGAUGACGGCCUUCGGGUUGUAAACCGCGUUCGCCUGUGACGAAGCGUGAGUGACGGUAAUGGGUAAGGAAGCACCGGCUAACUACGUG
This 468-nucleotide ribosomal RNA is filed under the name uncultured bacterium. RNAcentral describes it as "partial 16S ribosomal RNA". It matches the Rfam family "Bacterial small subunit ribosomal RNA", at positions 28 to 507 of the family's 1533-position model. The record is from RNAcentral.